Molecule: ribosomal RNA, 403 nt
Filed under: uncultured bacterium
Lineage: Bacteria
Description: partial 16S ribosomal RNA
Rfam family: Bacterial small subunit ribosomal RNA
Source: RNAcentral
AUUGAACGCUUGCGGCAGGCCUAACACAUGCAAGUCGAGCGAGCGGCGGACGGGUUAGUAAUGUAUGGGGACUGCCCGAUAGAGGGGGAUAACUACUGGAAACGGUAGCUCAUACCGCAUACUAUCGGAUAACCCAUAUCGGAUUAGCUAGUUGGUGGGGUAAAGGCUCACCAAGGCAACGAUCCGUAGCUGGUUUGAGAGGACGACCAGCCACACUGGGACUGAGACACGGCCCAGACUCCUACGGAGGCAGCAGUGGGGAAUUUUGGAGAAUGGGGGAAACCCUGAUGCAGCCAUCCCGCGUGUAUGAUGAAGGCCGUCGGGUUGUAAAGUACUUUUGGCAGAGAAGCGGUAUCUGCAGAAUAAGCACCGGCUGACUACGUGCCAGCAGCCGCGGUAAUAC